Molecule: long non-coding RNA, 9496 nt
Organism: Gallus gallus (chicken)
Lineage: Eukaryota; Metazoa; Chordata; Aves; Galliformes; Phasianidae
Exons: 3
Source: RefSeq, a predicted model, not a curated record
GGGGCCGCGCCGCCGCCCUUAUCCGCCCGCGCAGCGCCGCCUGGGGCUCGCGAUAGGGCCGGCCGCCCCCAGCUCCCCGCCCUGCCCCGGCGGCGGGCCCCGGUGAGUCAUCCCGCUUCCUCCCGCGAUGUAGGUCGGGGUGCGCGGGCAGUGCCGGGCCCUCCGCCACGCCUCCGGGCUGAAGCGCGCCGUGCCGCAGGUGAGGGCCGCCCGAGUCCGGCCGCCGUCUGAGCGGGGCCGGAGGGGCGGUCCGAGAGCCGCCGGGAUCGCGCAGCGCCGCACUGCGCUGCCGGAACGCCGCGCUCCGGGCCGUGUCCGCCCCCCUCCCCCCUCUGCUUUCUGCCGCUGUUUCGCCCCGGAUGAAACAUCCGCAGCUCACGCAGCGCUCGGUGUCUCCUCCGUUUUAAAACCUGGAGGCGCUGUUGGCGAUACGUCGCUCUCUUCCACCCGUUGCGCAGCCCCGUUUCGCUCCGGGCUUCACCUGAGGCGGCCGAGCGCUGCAGGUCGGUGCUGACGGUGCCGGUCCGCCCUCGCGGCGCCGCCCGUUCACCUCCCUGCCUCAGCGGGGCCGCCAAAGCAGCAGAACUCCUCGCUUACCCGGCCGGGAGCUGCGGCUGUUCCCAGAAAUCUCCAUCGGUAACUUUUCCCGAAGCCGUCGUUCGGGUUCGAGCCUUCACGCGGCGAGCGGCUCCAUGGGAUGAAACCUAUUCGGCUGCUUCUGUGGUGCGAUGCGAGGCGCUGGCGAGCAGCUCGGGGGGUGCUUUGGAAGGGGACCGUAUGGCACAGGGCCUGAAACGCGUCGUUGCUUCCAAGUCUCGCUGCGGAUGGGUCAGCUCGGUGCAUUUCUUCCUUCUAAGUGUCAGGUCGGGAUGUGAAAAUACCUGCCCGAACUGCUCCAGCUGUGGGGUAAAGAGGCAGAAAGCACUUUUCCCUUAAACCAGAUCCCAUUUAUGAAGAUCAAACGUGAUAUCCAUCCUGAGAGCGCAACUGCGGUGAAUAAAUACCUCUGGCUUAGAGCUAAUUAAGAAAUAACAACCCCAGCUGUUGGACCGACCUGCAGAAGCCUUGUUGUAACCCUGACAUCUGCCCGCCUCCAGCAGUCCCUGCGAGUUCCUGGCCACAUCAGCCUUCCCUGGUCCUGCAGCAGCGUGCAGAGGUGAGCAGUCAGGUUCCCCAUCAGGUAAUUCUGGUUCUCCUUCCAGGGCAGCAGCCCCGGUACAGCAGGAAGGCAGCCCAGGUCCUGGCAGGGCGAUGGGAAGGGCCCUUUGUGGGCAGGACUGCCUGCAGAUGGGCUGAAGGAAUCAGUAUUCCACCAACUGCUAGAAGAAAAUUAAACUUUAUUUAAAAAUUCUUCUAAUGUAGAAAACGAGAGGAGACGAAGGCAAAAACGAAUGCCCCUGGUUCCAUCUCAUUACAGGAGUUACUGUAUGUACAGCUUCAGAAAGGAGCACUGGCAGAAGGUACACAUCCUACUUAUGGAGCACUACAAACACUUAACAAUACGUUGUACAAACCUGACGUAACAUUGAAAGGUUCACUGCAGGAAACAAUUAAAUACAGUCGCUAAGACAGACAGUAGAAGAGCACAGACUGAUGUUAUUUCAUCCCGAAUCCUCCGUGUUCCAGGCAGCCCAAACCACCCUCAAUCAGCCCCCACUGCCUCGGUGAGAAGCUGCUGCAUCCCAAAGGAUUGGGAUCGCUCUGCAUGGGCUGGAGGUCAGCGGCACAGAGGGGGACACCACCAAACCCUUUCUAUCCUAGUUUGACUUUCUGGCCAACGUGAAGAACUGAAUCAAAUCAAAGCAGUGAAGCAAUGCUGUGCUGCACCUCGCGUGCCUAUAGGCGGCGUCGCAGCUGAAGGCCCAGCUCGUUGAGCAGUGUACGUUUUUGCACGUGUGGGACAACAACAGAGAGAGCUCGAGACUGGCCAGGCUGGUGGUGGGUCCGUUCUGUGCCUGGAACUGUACGGGAGGUGGUCCAUCUGUCCACUGCAAGAUAACAAACAGCAUGAAAAUCCUCCAGCCACGACCUGGGAAGGGGAGGAGCAGCAGCAAGGCCAGAAAAAGGAGCUGCCCACACACACAUUGACUACCUUGAGAUCAUUUACUGAUUUCAUGACAAGCUGAGCAUCAGGUUUGACUCUGUGUCAUGUGCAUGGAGCAGGGGGAACUGUGACUUGCACUUAUGACAGACCUCAAUUUAGAUGCUUCUGUUUGAGCCCAUUCUACAGUGCAGCUACAGUGUUUCCAGAGUGAAUGAAGCCUCUGGUUCUCACCCGUUUCAUGUUUUCCUCUCAAAUUUAUCAAAAUCUCCUGAACUAGGCAGAUUUUGUAGUUUUUAAUCCUCUUCCACCUCCACAUUUUUAAUCUAGCAUGGAUUACACAUAAGCCAGCAAUGGCAAGCAAAGUCAGCAGAGCAUACAGCACAGGGGGAUGGGCUGUGGGCAUCACCAACGUGGGCUGCACAGCACAUGUGGGUCUCAGGAUCCCUCUGCAGCCAAAGCAAUCAGCUUCUUCCUGGCAGCCUUUUUUUUCCCCUCUCAUAAAGGGAACGUUGGGAAAAGAUGUCAGGUUUCCCUACAUCCCAAAUUCACAUUUGGACGUUAUUUCAGUCUGAAAGAAUGGAUUAUCUUUCACUCUUGCUGAAUUCCAGCAUAAGAGAGCACUUUGGUAUUUUUAAGCUAUGUUAAAAGUGUUUCUGACAGUGACAAGUCCAAAAGAGGAACCCCUUAAGGUAGCAGCUCUACAGACAUUGAAUGUCAUUAACUGGAAAUUCAGAUUUAUAGAUAAGGUGAAAACCCACAAAUGCUAGAAUUAUCUCAAUAGAAACCAUACUCAUAGCAGUACUCAAAGCAUUCCCCUGAAGAAGGGGAUCUAAACAUUAAAAUUAAACCCGAGUAUACAUUAAUUUUCUUUCAAAAGUAGCAGCUGUCCCCAAAACAAAGUGGCUACCUGCUACAGAAGGCAUUAAAAGAAAGUUCUGGAGUGCCAAUAAAACCACUGAAGGAAACAAAGACCUCACAGGGAUAUCGAGGGAAAGCAAAGCACGCUGUCCUGCCUCGAGAGUGCCCAGAACCAGAAGAUGAAGAUUGCUUACCGUGAUUAAAUUGUGUUCUGGAAGACUGCAUGCUUCAAUGUGGUCCUGGAGGAGCUGCUGUGAGAAGUUCUGAUGCAUCUGUGCUGCCUCAUGUGCAUCCAUUGCAUUUCCACAGGCUUUGUUCAGGUCUGAAAGACAAGAGCUUCAUUUGCUCACCAAGAACCACCGUUCACACUUAUCUUCUCUGAUGUGACUCUUCCCCAUAGUAAUGAAUGAAUGACUUAAACUGCCAAUAUAUCAAGGCCAUCCCACUCAGAAGGGCAGGGGCACAUUGAGAACCUGAGCCUUUCCUCCUUCCAACAUUGCAGGAUUUGAUGUUAUUUUAGUUUCCAAUCAUUCAAAUAACACUACGCUAAUUGGACAAGCAGGAAAGCACCUCCUUACCCAGCAGAGCCCCUGUGCUGCAGGCACACACACUCUCUAUGUUCUGGCACCAUCUAGUGGGAAUGAGGGCUCACCAGUUUGUCACCAUGCUUUGGCAGCACAGACCUCACAGCAGUUCAUUUAUUUUCCCUCCUCGUUCCCCUUUGCUUUCAGGCCCUCACAGCCUGCAGCUCUGCCCAUCCCCAACGCAGCUCCUAUUGUCUUGUUUCCUGUGAGGUUUGCUGGCAUAUAUUAGCUCAGCCACAUUUCAGAAUGGUAACACAGUAAGCAUGGCAAUGUUAGCUAACAGGGAUAAGCAGUGUAGAGGUGAGGGCUGAGACACACAGCUCCUGUUGGUGAACAAGUGCUGGCAUUCCACUGCUCCUGAUGGAGCACCUCUUCAAAAGAGAAUCUAUCCGUUCCAUGGGAGAGCUCUUAGAAAAACCAAAGCAGAAUGGGAAUGGUGCCUCUGUGACAGGAGCAGCAACAGCUGAACAAGGGACAGCCUUUCAUCUACAGUAGAUUCAUUAUUAUUAUUGGCAUGUUUUGUAUGUCAACCACCACUUGGAAACGAAUGAGAGAAGUUAUUUCAAUUGCCUAGAAGCAAUUUUGUAGCAAAGGCAGUAGCAAAGCAGAACAUAAGCCUGGCCCAGUGCUUGGUUUACAGCACCAUGCUUAUAGCAAACACGACAGCUUAAUAGAAACUGAAACUGUGGGGUAAGUUCUUGGGAAAGGGGUAGAGUUACUGCUUUAUUUUCUAGUGAAAGCAAAUCAAUUGCAGCAUUAACGCUGACAGUCUGCCAAGAAGCUAGUCAAUAUUUGAACAAAGCAUCCUGGGGCCCAUGCAAGUCAGAUUAAACAAUAUUUAUGUAUGAGAGAUAUAACAGUCUCUUGUAUUUAUUAAGGCCCCCACACAGAAGCAAAGCCUAAUAAAAUGUUUACUGAAGCAAGAGCUGCAGUCAGAGCAAAGCCCUGCAACAACAGCACGGAUGCUGCAUGGCUGUGACCUGCAGCCCUUCCCAAGCAGUCACAGUAUUCUGCACGCCCAUGCACUCAGUCUGCAUGACGAGCAUCCCCACACAGACUCCCAGUGAGCAGCAGUGGUUCUUUGCCACUCAUUUUAAGCACAAGACAUUUUCCUCCCUUACCUCUCAGCAGAGCUGAAGACCACAGCUGCACAGACAUAUCCGGGAUCUUGCUUGCAAGCUGCAUGGCUGGCACUACCAUAUUAUUACUUUCCUGGUGAAAAGCAGACAUCAACAUCAAAGACGUACUUUUUCCCCUUCCAAAUAUGUAAUGUAUCGAAGAGAUGCUUUUGCCUAAUUUAAUUGCUAGCUAGCAAGCUGAAAUGCUUAAUGGGACAAUAACGCAAACAGAUCAUCUAAAGCUGCCUGGAAUUUUGCCUUGUCCCAGGCAUUAUGGUGUCUGUGUUGUGCAAGACAAUAGAAAUAUUUCACACAUUCUGGCAUACGAUGAGAAUUCAGAAGAGCUCACACCCACAAUUCCUUCCAAGCAAUCCCACUGCAUGACGUUACUUGUCCUUUAUUCUAUUGUUUUUUUUUCCCCCCCCGAGUGAUUUCAGGCAUUACAGAAACACCUAUCUCUACAAUAGGAGCCAAACACUACUGCUUUGUAAAGAGUGUUGCUCAGUGUGCAAGAAUGGUGUAUAUCCACGAGCUGCCGGCUCUCAGUGGGGCACCUACAUACAAACACUCCUGAACACAACCUGAGAAGCGCCCCAAUUUGCUCUGGCAAAUCAAUAAGCACACAGUAGCAGCAGACACACGAAGGCUUACCCUGUGAUUCCCUAAUACGUAGAAUAUAUGACCCAGGAGCACGAGGGAACAUGCUGUUAAUCGAUUCAAAUCUUCUGCAUUUGACAUUUUCAGCGUCUCUCGCAAAAACCGCCUGCCAACACAGAGCACAGCACGGAGCAAUUAACCAAAAUCUGCCUUCCCUGAUGUCUUUAAGAAAUGUCAUGAAGAACCCAAUGAACCCCAUCAGCAAAUGAGCACCCGGGAAUAAACGCGUGCUGCAGGUGACCUGAAACAAAGCGCUCCAUUCCCAAACCUCACCUUUCAUUUAGCAAGAAGGACUAUAACAUAUCCCCCUUUGAAAAGCCUUUCUUUCAGAUGGGCCACUGCAGAACACCACACAAGUAUUACUCAGAGCAAAAGAGAUGUAAAACAGUCUUUGCCUCAAGCGAAACAGAAGGUUGGCUAAACCCACGGGGAACCCAGGAGGUUGGAAAGCAAAGCCUUUGAGUUUUCGUGUUGAGUUUAAAUCCCGAUUUGGUUUUUCCUUCUCCCCCCCCUUCCAGGUGCAGAGCUUUGUACUCACUUUGCCUCGUUGUAUCUUCCUUGGAAGAAGGAGAACAGACCUCGGAUAUAGAAAGCUGCUGCUCGAAGGCAGUGGGAGCUACAAACAAAGCAGAACGUUGACAUUGAGGCACUGCACAGUGACAAACACAGCACGGGCUGUGUCCCAUAACCAAACCUCUGCACAAAACAUUACGUUGAACAAACAGUCAGAGCUUCUGCCUUGAAAAGAAGAGGAUUAUUCUGUCUUCUGUGAAUAAAGCCUGAUACAAAACCAGUAUUACCAUCAUCAGUGCAACAUCAGCACAGUUUCUGGAACUCUCACCUCACAGGAAAAUUGUGGUCUGGAUUUAUCCUUUCCAAUAAGCUGUAAAGCUGCAAAGUGAGAGGGGAAAAAGGAUAAUCAGUGCUUCUGACAUAUACAGCUGAUGGUAUAGACAGCAUGAGUCUGACACAAAGUGCACAUCGCAUCAAAACAUUCAAGUCACUACAAACACACUGACAUUUACUUAUAUUGGUUAAAUCAAACAACAGGUGUUCCAAUGCUAGAAAUUAUGUCCAUUCUGGUCCUAGAAACGACUUUUACGUAAAAUAUGCUGUCUUAAACUUUAUAAAAGUUACUAUAAACUGUUAACGCUUCCUCAGAAAAUCCUUAGCAGUCAUUUAACUGAGCUGCUCUGUAUCUAAAUGCUGUCUCAGAUUCGUCAGUUAAUCCAAACCAGGAAUGAACUGUGCAAAAAAAGAAAAGGGUGACUUCUGCAGAGCUGCAGGCAGGACGCAGUGAGCACUCACCUCCUGGUGUCGGUUGCCUUCCCUGAUGUACACACUGGCCAAGUUUGUCACAAUGAACGCCCACAGCUCCUGGUGUGUAGUGAGCUGAAACAGAACAAAGCACACCAACAGCGCAGUCAAAAUACUCCAGUGCCUAACCCAGAAUUAGUUCACCCCGUCUUUAAUAUAUACAAAAAGAAAGAAAAUACUCAGAUUUGGUGUCUGCUUUUUAGCUACAAACAAAUUCUCCUGACCUGAACCGUGUUCGGCAAGGAAAAUCUGAACGAAUACAACUAAUACAGACUUUGCACUUCCAGCCUCAUCUGCCUGGUGCCCCACACAACCACAAGCCCAGCCACCACACUGGAUAUUGUGAGAAGAAAAACCUUACCCUCAGUGCUGUAGUAAACUGUGCUUCUGCAUUGUCCAUGCAAUUAACAGAAAUGCAGUAGAGCCCCUGUAGAAGACAUGAUGUUGUUAAGGUAACAGCACAUCGUUCCAAGCCCAGAAUGCCAAGAAGGCAAGCAUGCACAGAACCACAGAAACCAGCAUAUUGGCUGAAAGAAGGCUCUCGAUUCCUUACAACCUUCAAAUAGCAAUGCUACUUAUAUUUGUCCCCACACCCAGUUCCCACAACGUGGUCUCAAAGAUGCACAGUGCAUAUCCCGUGUAUUUACACUGUGUACCAAUUAUCAUGGCACAGGGCACUUUAAAAGGGGAUUUAAGGCUCUGACAGCUGAGCUGGCUGUGAGUCCCCACAGCAGGACAGGCAAACAGCAAAGCAACCAUUCCUCAGCAAGAAAUUCUGCUGUCUGCAUCACCGUGACCUCAUUACUGGUGACUGUGCACCGUUCAGUCCUCAAAGAGUCACAGAUUUACCUCUCAUCACAGACACUUACUAACAGAGUGUGCAGCUGGGCAGCGUGAUUAGAAAACAGCCUGGGAGACUGCUGGCAGAGCUGGCAGACUUGUGAGAUCUGUUAGGAAAAAACAAUCUCUUUCAGAUAUUUUUCUCUGUUUUGAUGUACGCUCUCUAUCCACCUAACUGCACCGCACACGGCACUCAGUAAGCUGCAGUGACCCCUUCCAGGACCUAGUGCUGCUCCUCAGUGAUGGCAGAGCCAGCUGUGCCUCGGGCUGAGAGAUGCACUGCUCCUCCCACACUCACACACACACACAGGAACUGGUUUAGAAUGAUCUGCUUUGCUGCAGCUCUGCCAUAUGGUGGCACCACCUGCAAACAAAUACCAGAUCUGUUCGGAAACGCACAGAUUUUGUGCUGGCACACAACAGAAAAGCUGGAAUCAAACUCUUCCAAAGGGAAUGUGCCUGCGAGGAGCACCGAGAGCCCAGCACUACUCUUUUAGCUGAUUUUCCCCCCACACACAUUCAUGUGAAGACCGACAACAGAGGCUGAGAUGGUGCAGCAGAGUAUCCUAUAAAUAAGGGGUGGAGAGGAACUAAAAAUGCUUGGGAGAACAGAGAAAAGUGCAGUUUACUCUUGCAUUAGAGAAUGUUGUCCCCCUCCCUUUUUCCCCCCAAAUUAUUUAAGAGGAAGAAAGGACAGAAAGUCCUUUAAGAGAGCCUUAAAGACAGAGAAGAACGAGGAAUGGACAGGAACACUACGAGGAACUGAAAGGGGAAGAGUUAAGAGCUGCCCUCAGCCACGAACAGAGGAAAAAGACACCAGACCAAUUGUGACCAGGAAGAAGGGACCACUUCUUGUCACUGCUCAGUACUUGCCAACCCCACCAGCAACUCCAAAGUGUUGGUAAACGAAACAAAAGAAGAGGUGGCUAAUCCCCAAGUACCAUCAGGCCUGACCACAUCUGUUAGCUUAGUACUGCUGGAACCCCCCAUCUGAGCCCAAGAAUCCUCCUUGAAACACAGUUUUACAAGUUAUUACUGCACAUAUCCCAGCUAAGGAAAUGGUUGAAUCCUGUGUUUACCUCCUGCAAUGCUGUGGCUUUGUGUCCUGUGACAAGCCGACACAUGAUAAUGUGUUCCAACAAAAUAACUUGGAAAGAUGACAAGAUAGGACUGCAGUCCAACACUGAAGAGGGAACAAAGGGAAUCUGGGGCACCUGGCAUUCUCCAGAAAAAGCCUGUAAUGUUUCAGAAGGAAUUUCUCAGCCAGAUUUCAUACUCCAAAGUUGUUAUAAUUCACUGAGAGUACAUGCAGAGCAGACAGGAUCAAUUCAGACAUAAGCAAACUCGGACAGUUACGUGAGGAGUGCUCCCCAGCAGAAGCAGAGGAAGUGUGCAAGGCACGACUCAGGUGAUGAGGAAGGGAUGGCACAGCCUGCAGAGCACCCCUCCCUCCCUCCAGCCUCCCAAAUUUCAGCCCAUUUUCCAGACAGGUAAAGAGCCACACAGCUGCAGAAGAACACUCACUGAGGCAGUGAGACAUACAGACCCUUGUGGUCAAGCAAAAGCCAGAAAGGAAAUACCACACAGAGAAGAAAUCAGCAAAGAAUGUCAAGCUCCAAGAAAGGAUCCUAUUCAGUGGGAGGCACCGAGAAAAACAUUUAAGCUUCUUGUGAGUACUCAAGCAUUAACUCAUUGCAAAGCAAACAUUUGUCCUUUAAUCGAUAGGAAAGGCUCUGCACAGUUCAGCGUUCCCAAACUACACAAAGGAGCUCAGCAGUUCCUUUUCAAGGAAGUUGGUCUGCUUGUUUAAGCUCAUCAGGAAGGGGAGAAACACAAGUACAGGUGACUAUUAAGACUGCCUUCAAAGACAAAACUGCUUGCUAGCCAGCUCUCUUUCACAGAGUACUUCUAAAGAGCAAUUAAAUCCCUCAGAUCUGUCUCUCCACUGAUAUUGAUGACUGGAAAAAAUAAGAGGCGUCCAAGAUCUUUCCCAUAACACAGACGUUUUCCAGCCAUUUUUACAGCCACAGUGCUACACGGUACUCCCAAUUAGCAACAGAACAUCACUCACUGCAAGU